AUGAUCCGCCGCCGCCCGAUGAUCCACCGCCGCCGCGAUCUUGCCUCCCGCCUCUGCCAUAGCCACAACCCCGCCACUGCCCAAUGCUGCUCACCCCCACUCGCCACCUACCCAUCCUGCUUUGGGCAAUCCUGGAGCUCGUGGCGGCGCCGAAUGAUGCACGGUGCCCCACUAGGCACUGCCGAUCGAUGGGCCAUCCUCCGUAUGCGAAGCCCCCACCCCGCCGCGCGGUGGCCCCAGCUGCACCCGACAACGCCCCGGACAGCCCUUCAGUCUUCCCUGAGAGAGCCAGAGACUUCUUACCAAGGAAUCAGCAGAUGAUAAAUCUAACAAGGUUCGUGUGAAAGCAAGUCUGGUCCAAGAGUUUUUAAGCUGGAGUCUGGGAAUGUUAAGAAAAAAAAAAGUUAUUAUCUACAUUUCAGUCCAAUGGCCUUCCUGGAUAUUGGCUUCAUUUUUCUAUCACUUCACUGCACACUGAGCAAUUCCUCUGAGGGAAGGGGCGCAUCCCUAGCCUUUGGCAUAGCACUGGGGAGUGUGGAGAUAGCAGUCUAUAAUAACAAACAUGUCCAGAGGCUCUGAGCUAAAGUCACAGGCUUGGGGUGAGAGAGGAAGGAGAAAUUGUACCCAACCUACAACUUGUGGGGCGGAGGGGGUGGACAGGAUAAGGUAUACACACACCAAAAAUCUGAACUCUGUUUUCUAUUCUUUGCUAUCUAGAGAAGAAUCCAAGCACUUUAAGGGGGCCCUCCAUAGAGGACUGCAAAAAAUGAAAAUCCACGUACAUGAACAAGAUUGUUAUCAACUGAGAUGGGUUGAAAUCAGAUGGCAACUAGAGUGAAAGCCCAUAGAGGUCAGGGGGGGUGAUGAGUUCACACUCCAAAGCCUUUCUAGCUGAGUAAGGCCUGCACCAGGAGGAUACAUCACAAACAGACUUCGGUGCCCCUCACACUGGCAAAUCUGUUCAGCCGUUGUGUUCAAAAGGAGUUAACCUACCACAAGAAAUGCUCCGUAAUAAGAUACCAAGUCAAAGGAUAAUGAGCACUUUUCAAAGGAAGGAUUGCAAAGUAUAAAUGACCCCAUAAAAACCUAUUCCACAUCACUACUGGUCUAGGAAACAUACGGAAAGAGAACUUUGAGGUUUCACAUCACACCAGAUAUUGGCAAAAAAUGAAGGGUGUGACAACAUUGAGGGCAGGCACAUGGAUGUACUGUUAGUGGAGUUCUAAAAUGGCCCAUCCAUUCUAGGUGUGGGUUAGAAUUCUGCCAGAAAAAGUGAGGUUGCCUGGCCAUAGUGGGUGGCCCAGCUCUCACUCUCCUGGGC
This 1321-nucleotide long non-coding RNA is filed under the name Phascolarctos cinereus (koala). RNAcentral describes it as "lncRNA (ENSPCIG00000027930.2)". The record is from RNAcentral. Lineage: Eukaryota; Metazoa; Chordata; Mammalia; Diprotodontia; Phascolarctidae.